CACACAGAGGAGGAGGACGUGGACGCUGCCGACGUCUCCCGCGUGCCCGCAGACGUGCUGCGUGAUGUCGAGGCAGACACGUACUGGUGCGUGAGCAAGCUGCUGGAUGGCAUUCAGGACAACUAUAACUUUGCCCAGCCUGGGAUUCAAAUGAAGGUGAAGAUGUUGGAAGAGCUCGUGAGCCGGAUUGACGAGCAAGUCCACCGGCACCUGGACCAGCACGAGGUGAGGUACCUGCAGUUCGCCUUCCGCUGGAUGAACAACCUGCUGAUGCGGGAAGUGCCCCUGCACUGCACCAUCCGCCUGUGGGACACCUACCAGGUGAGCUGUCCCCG
Long non-coding RNA from Mirounga angustirostris (Northern elephant seal), 335 nucleotides. RefSeq lists it as uncharacterized. The transcript is spliced from 3 exons. The record is from RefSeq and is a predicted model, not a curated record. NCBI's taxonomy places the organism in Eukaryota, Metazoa, Chordata, Mammalia, Carnivora, Phocidae.